UACGUAGGGUAUCUGAAGUUUUUUGUAUAUAAUUUAACGAAAUGUCAACGAAGGAACUGACGAAAAGAGAAAAAUGAAACCACAUGGUAUUAAAUUGAUACACUUUAAACCACAGGGUACUAAAGUGAGAAAGUGCAAAACCAAAAUGAUGCAAGUCUUGGAUAAGAAUCUACAACGCACUAGAACGCCUUUGUUGACGAUCCUUUACUCCGACAGCAUCUAGGGUUCCUCGAACAAUGUGACAUCUCACACCGGGUAAAUCCUUCGGAUUCCAGCAUCGAAUAGAUCGGCGGAUAAGAAUAUUUGUCCGGUAGCCGAAAGCAUCACUAGCUUAUGCUCUGACCAGAGUAGCAUGGGGCACGUGGAAUCCCGUGUGAAUCAGUAAGGACCACCUUGCAAGGCUAAAUACUCCUCGGUGACCGAUAGCGAAGUAGUGCCGUGAGGGAAAGGUGAAAAGAACCCCCAUCGGGGAGUGAAAUAGAACAUGAAA
Ananas comosus (pineapple) is the source of this 490-nucleotide ribosomal RNA. It matches the Rfam family "Bacterial large subunit ribosomal RNA", at positions 29 to 555 of the family's 2925-position model. The record is from Rfam. Lineage: Eukaryota; Viridiplantae; Streptophyta; Magnoliopsida; Poales; Bromeliaceae.